GGCGGCACAACUCAAAAGAGAGACAAGACCACUGAAAAUCCUCGUGUCACCAGUUC
RNAcentral lists this transfer RNA (56 nucleotides) under Impatiens parasitica. RNAcentral's name for it is "partial tRNA-Phe". Lineage: Eukaryota; Viridiplantae; Streptophyta; Magnoliopsida; Ericales; Balsaminaceae. The record is from RNAcentral.